Molecule: ribosomal RNA, 279 nt
Filed under: uncultured bacterium
Lineage: Bacteria
Description: partial 16S ribosomal RNA
Rfam family: Bacterial small subunit ribosomal RNA
Source: RNAcentral
CUUGCUAAGUUUGAUGGCGACCGGCGCACGGGUGAGUAACACGUAUCCAACCUGCCGAUGACUCGGGGAUAGCCUUUCGAAAGAAAGAUUAAUACCCGAUGGCAUAGUUCUUCCGCAUGGUAGAACUAUUAAAGAAUUUCGGUCAUCGAUGGGGAUGCGUUCCAUUAGGUUGUUGGCGGGGUAACGGCCCACCAAGCCUUCGAUGGAUAGGGGUUCUGAGAGGAAGGUCCCCCACAUUGGAACUGAGACACGGUCCAAACUCCUACGGGAGGCAGUAUG